Arachis ipaensis is the source of this 257-nucleotide non-coding RNA. NCBI's taxonomy places the organism in Eukaryota, Viridiplantae, Streptophyta, Magnoliopsida, Fabales, Fabaceae. The record is from RefSeq and is a predicted model, not a curated record.
UGCUGCUAUUAUACCCAUUGGUAUGAUUCACUAUUGAUUCUUUUUCACCUGCAUAAGGUUAUCGUGCCAUAAAUCUAGCUGAUAUGAAUCCACUAAUCAUUGGUACAGGUUUGGGAGGUUUUGUGGCAUGCAAAGCCCUAUCAUAGAGGAAUACAGACUCUACCAAAGCUUUACGCCCUUGGGACAUUAACCGAGAUGGAUUUGUCAUGGGGGAAGGAGCUGGAGUUUUACUUUUGGAAGACUUGGAGCAUGCAAAG